UAAAUACUCCCGAGAGACCGAUAGCGAACCAGUACCGUGAGGGAAAGGUGAAAAGAACCCCGAGCAGGGGAGUGAAAUAGACCCUGAACCCGUCUGCCUACAAGCGGUCGGAGCGUCGUAAUGACGUGACGGCGUGCCUUUUGCAUAAUGAACCUACGAGUUACCUUCCCCGGCAAGGUUAAGUACCUAAGGUACGGAGCCGAAGCGAAAGCGAGUCUGAACAGGGCGCCAAGUCGGGGGGGGUAGACGCGAAACCGAGUGAUCUACCCUUGGCCAGGUUGAAGGUUGGGUAACACCAACUGGAGGACCGGAUGGGUAAGCGUUGAAAAGCUUUCCAAUGAGCUGAGGGUAGGGGUGAAAGGCUAAUCAAACUCGGAGAUAGCUCGUACUCCCCGAAAUGCAUUUAGGUGCAGCCUCUUUAUAGUAUAUCGUGAGGUAGAGCGACUGAUUGGAUGCGAGGGCUUCACCGCCUAUCAAGUCCAGAUAAACUCCGAAUGCGCGAUAUAUAUUUACAGGGAGUGAGGGCGCGGGUGCUAAGGUCCGUGUCCGAGAGGAGAAGAAUCCAGACCACCGGCUAAGGCCCCCAAAUGAUCGUUAAGUUGAACUAACGAGGUCGGAUCGCAGAGACAGCUAGGAUGUUGGCUUGGAAGCAGCCAUUCAUUUAAAGAGUGCGUAACAGCUCACUAGUCGAGCGAUCUGGCGUGGAUAAUAAUCGGGCAUAAACGAUCUGCCGAAGCCGUGGAUGUCGCAAGACAUGGUAGGGGAGCAUUCCAUGCGGCGUCGAAGAUGAGGGAUGACCCUUGUUGGAGCGCAUGGAAAAGCAAAUGUAGGUAUGAGUAACGAUAAGGGGGGCGAGAAACCCCCCCGCCGAAAGACCAAGGUUUCCUGAUCAACGCUAAUCGGAUCAGGGUGAGUCGGGACCUAAGGCAAAGCCGAACGGCGCCGCCGAUGGAAGAAUGGGUUAAUAUUCCCAUACUGCCUCAUGGAGUGACGUGGAGACGGAGAAGUGACAGUCCUGCCGGCUGACGGAAUAGCCGGUUGAAGGGUGUAGAUAUUGAUUCCCGUAGGCAAAUCCGCGGGGAGAGUCGAACCUGAGAGUAUACGGAGCGCUUGCGCAACGUAAUAUGGACGUAACCAUGCUCCCGAGAAAAUCCGCUAAACUUAUCCAUGCGGCACCCGUACCGUAAACGGACACACGUGGUCGGGUUGAGAAUACUGAGGCGCUCGAGUGAUUCACGGUUAAGGAACUAGGCAAAUUGACCCUGUAACUUCGGGAUAAAGGGUCCUCGUCGUAAGGCGAGGCGCAGAGAAUAGGUCCAGGCAACUGUUUAACAAAAACACAUGGCUGUGCUAAAUGGAAACAUGAUGUAUACAGCCUGACACCUGCCCGGUGCCGGAAGGUUAAGAGGAGAUGUCAUCCGCGAGGAGAAGCGUUGAAUUGAAGCCCCGGUAAACGGCGGCCGUAACUAUAACGGUCCUAAGGUAGCGAAAUUCCUUGUCGGGU
This 1504-nucleotide ribosomal RNA is filed under the name human gut metagenome. RNAcentral's name for it is "bacterial LSU rRNA". It matches the Rfam family "Bacterial large subunit ribosomal RNA", at positions 467 to 1977 of the family's 2925-position model. The record is from RNAcentral.